AAUAAGUACAGUUUUACACUAUUUACUUUUAACGUUUGACCGUUUGUUUUAUUUAAAAAAUUUUUAUUGUUAGUAUUUUUAUUGCUAUUAGAUGAUAAAACAUGAAUAGUACUUUAUAUGUGACUAAAUAUUUUUAAAUAAGACGGACGGUCAAACGUUGGGCACGAAUAUUCACGGCUGCACUUAUU
Oryza glaberrima (African rice) is the source of this 188-nucleotide non-coding RNA. Lineage: Eukaryota; Viridiplantae; Streptophyta; Magnoliopsida; Poales; Poaceae. The record is from Rfam.